UACGUAGGGGGCUAGCGUUGUCCGGAAUCAUUGGGCGUAAAGAGCGUGUAGGCGGCCCGGUAAGUCCGCUGUGAAAGUCCAGGGCCCAACCCUGGGAUGCCGGUGGAUACUGUCGGGCUCGAGUCCGGAAGAGGAGUGUGGAAUUCCUGGUGUAGCGGUGAAAUGCGCAGAUAUCAGGAGGAACACCAAUGGCGAAGGCAGCACUCUGGGACGUGACUGACGCUGAGACGCGAAAGCGUGGGGAGCAAACAGG
Molecule: ribosomal RNA, 253 nt
Filed under: uncultured bacterium
Lineage: Bacteria
Description: partial 16S ribosomal RNA
Rfam family: Bacterial small subunit ribosomal RNA
Source: RNAcentral